Molecule: unclassified non-coding RNA, 21 nt
Filed under: synthetic construct
Source: RNAcentral
CAAUGACUUACAAGGCAGCUU